GGAGGGGUGACAGAGUGGCCGAUUGUGCUCGCUUGGAAAGCGAGUGUACCGCAAGGUACCGGGGGUUCGAAUCCCCCUCCCUCCGCCA
Molecule: transfer RNA, 88 nt
Filed under: Planctomycetota bacterium
Lineage: Bacteria; Pseudomonadati; Planctomycetota
Description: tRNA-Ser
Rfam family: tRNA
About the family: Transfer RNA (tRNA) molecules are approximately 80 nucleotides in length. Their secondary structure includes four short double-helical elements and three loops (D, anti-codon, and T loops).
Source: RNAcentral